Oncorhynchus keta (chum salmon) is the source of this 1427-nucleotide long non-coding RNA. RefSeq lists it as uncharacterized. The transcript has 3 exons. The record is from RefSeq and is a predicted model, not a curated record. Lineage: Eukaryota; Metazoa; Chordata; Actinopteri; Salmoniformes; Salmonidae.
CACACUUAGACACUGUAGUCAUAGCUAGAGCCACACAUGAUUUAGAAAGGAAAUAUACAUUUUGCAAUUGUCUCACGUCAAAGUAAAUACUACUUCAAAAUUGGACCAAUUCAAAUGUAGGCAAUGCUAUAGAUUUAUGGUAAGGCAUCCGAUCUAGGCCUGGGUAAUGAUAUUGUAUUUUAAGGCAUGCCUGUGAUCUAGGGCUGGGUGAUGAUAUUGUAUUUUAAGGCAUGCCUGUGAUCUAGGCCUGGGUAAUGAUAUUGUAUUUUAAGGUAUGCCUGUGAUCUAGGCCUGGGUGAUGAUAUUGUAUUUUAAGGUAUGCCUGUGAUCUAGGCCUGGGUGAUGAUAUUGUAUUUUAAGGUAUGCCUGUGAUCUAGGCCUGGGUAAUGAUAUUGUAUUUUAAGGCAUGCCUGUGAUCUAGGCCUGGGUGAUGAUAUUGUAUUUUAAGGUAUGCCUGUGAUCUAGGGCUGGGUAAUGAUAUUGUAUUUUAAGGUAUGCCUGUGAUCUAGGCCUGGGUGAUGAUAUUGUAUUUUAAGGCAUGCCUGUGAUCUAGGCCUGGGUAAUGAUAUUGUAUUUUAAGGCAUGCCUGUGAUCUAGGCCUGGGUGAUGAUAUUGUAUUUUAAGGCAUGCCUGUGAUCUAGGCCUGGGUAAUGAUAUUGUAUUUUAAGGUAUGCCUGUGAUCUAGGCCUGGGUGAUGAUAUUGUAUUUUAAGGUAUGCCUGUGAUCUAGGCCUGGGUGAUGAUAUUGUAUUUUAAGGUAUGCCUGUGAUCUAGGCCUGGGUGAUGAUAUUGUAUUUUAAGGUAUGCCUGUGAUCUAGGCCUGUGUAAUGAUAUAUUGUAUUUUAAGGUAUGCCUGUGAUCUAGGCCUGUGUAAUGAUAUAUUGUAUUUUAAGGUAUACCAGUGUCGAACCACAUAUGGCAAAGGAUUUUUCUCUAUAAUUAUAUUUUGAUACCAUCUAUAUUCUAUCAUUUACAUUUUUGAUACAGUGAUAAACAAAGAAAAAGUUCUACAAAUUGGACUACUUUACUGUCAGUUUUGGAUUGGUAUAAAACAAUCAGAAUGGGGGAAAGCCCAUUUAAAACCACAUAUAAUUAAUUUGUUGCCAUCCUAGGGUUGUGGGUUACACAGAAAAACAUAUUAAGAACUUGUGUUAUUCCCGAAGCAUAAAAUGCAGGCAUACCAUCAAAUGUAGAAUAUCACCCAGCCCUUCUCUAAUCCUAUACCCAUGGUCAGAGCGUCUUACUGUGGAGCACAAGUAAAGUAGCAUUCACACAAUAAUAGACACACUCAUCAUUUAUUAAGCACUGAAAAUACACUUUUAUUACUUCACAUUUGUGUUUUAAAAGAUUUAAUUUGUUAAUUUAUAGGAUUUUAAAUAUCUGAAAUCUCCCUUCUCUCUGUCCUUCAAUUGUACCUGUAAACUCUUA